Molecule: ribosomal RNA, 486 nt
Filed under: uncultured bacterium
Lineage: Bacteria
Description: bacterial SSU rRNA
Rfam family: Bacterial small subunit ribosomal RNA
Source: RNAcentral
AUUGAACGCUAGCGGCAUGCUUAACACAUGCAAGUCGAACGGUAGCAGGUCUAGCUUGCUAGAUGCUGACGAGUGGCGGACGGGUGAGUAACGCGUAGGAAUCUACCUUGUAGUGGGGGAUAACUUGGGGAAACCCAAGCUAAUACCGCAUGAGCCCCAAGGGGGAAAGCAGGGGACCGAAAGGCCCUGUGCUAUGAGAUGAGCCUGCGUCGGAUUAGCAGUUGGUGGGGUAAAGGCCUACCAAGGCGACGAUCCGUAGCUGGUCUGAGAGGACGACCAGCCACACUGGGACUGAGACACGGCCCAGACUCCUACGGGAGGCAGCAGUGGGGAAUAUUGGACAAUGGGCGCAAGCCUGAUCCAGCAAUGCCGCGUGUGUGAAGAAGGCCUGCGGGUUGUAAAGCACUUUCAGUAGGGAGGAAGGCCUCAAUGUUAAUAGUAUUGAGGAUUGACGUUACCUACAGAAGAAGCACCGGCUAACUCUGU